GGGUCUGUGGUUUAGUGGUAUAAUACUCCCUUAGCAUGGGAGUGGUCCGGGGUUCGGUUAGUAGUCCUCAAGUUCGAAUCCUCUGAACGUCAUUCUAACAUUCAAAAAGAUUCCCCGCGGAUCCA
RNAcentral lists this transfer RNA (125 nucleotides) under Diplodia seriata. RNAcentral describes it as "tRNA-Ala". The record is from RNAcentral. Lineage: Eukaryota; Fungi; Ascomycota; Dothideomycetes; Botryosphaeriales; Botryosphaeriaceae.